Molecule: ribosomal RNA, 2928 nt
Filed under: Salmonella enterica subsp. enterica serovar Enteritidis
Lineage: Bacteria; Pseudomonadati; Pseudomonadota; Gammaproteobacteria; Enterobacterales; Enterobacteriaceae
Also listed under: 1 other name
Description: 23S ribosomal RNA
Rfam family: Bacterial large subunit ribosomal RNA
Source: RNAcentral
GGGUUGUGAGGUUAAGCGACUAAGCGUACACGGUGGAUGCCCUGGCAGUCAGAGGCGAUGAAGGGCGUGCUAAUCUGCGAUAAGCGCCGGUAAGGUGAUAUGAACCGUUAUAACCGGCGAUACCCGAAUGGGGAAACCCAGUGUGACUCGUCACACUAUCAUUAACUGAAUCCAUAGGUUAAUGAGGCGAACCGGGGGAACUGAAACAUCUAAGUACCCCGAGGAAAAGAAAUCAACCGAGAUUCCCCCAGUAGCGGCGAGCGAACGGGGAGGAGCCCAGAGCCUGAAUCAGCAUGUGUGUUAGUGGAAGCGUCUGGAAAGGCGCGCGAUACAGGGUGACAGCCCCGUACACAAAAGCGCAUGUGCUGUGAGCUCGAUGAGUAGGGCGGGACACGUGGUAUCCUGUCUGAAUAUGGGGGGACCAUCCUCCAAGGCUAAAUACUCCUGACUGACCGAUAGUGAACCAGUACCGUGAGGGAAAGGCGAAAAGAACCCCGGCGAGGGGAGUGAAAAAGAACCUGAAACCGUGUACGUACAAGCAGUGGGAGCACAGGUUUACCUGUGUGACUGCGUACCUUUUGUAUAAUGGGUCAGCGACUUAUAUUCUGUAGCAAGGUUAACCGAAUAGGGGAGCCGGAGGGAAACCGAGUCUUAAUUGGGCGUUAAGUUGCAGGGUAUAGACCCGAAACCCGGUGAUCUAGCCAUGGGCAGGUUGAAGGUUGGGUAACACUAACUGGAGGACCGAACCGACUAAUGUUGAAAAAUUAGCGGAUGACCUGUGGCUGGGGGUGAAAGGCCAAUCAAACCGGGAGAUAGCUGGUUCUCCCCGAAAGCUAUUUAGGUAGCGCCUCGUGAAUUCAUCUCCGGGGGUAGAGCACUGUUUCGGCUAGGGGGCCAUCCCGGCUUACCAACCCGAUGCAAACUGCGAAUACCGGAGAAUGUUAUCACGGGAGACACACGGCGGGUGCUAACGUCCGUCGUGAAGAGGGAAACAACCCAGACCGCCAGCUAAGGUCCCAAAGUCAUGGUUAAGUGGGAAACGAUGUGGGAAGGCCCAGACAGCCAGGAUGUUGGCUUAGAAGCAGCCAUCAUUUAAAGAAAGCGUAAUAGCUCACUGGUCGAGUCGGCCUGCGCGGAAGAUGUAACGGGGCUAAACCAUGCACCGAAGCUGCGGCAGCGACACUGUGUGUUGUUGGGUAGGGGAGCGUUCUGUAAGCCUGCGAAGGUGGCCUGUGAGGGUUGCUGGAGGUAUCAGAAGUGCGAAUGCUGACAUAAGUAACGAUAAAGCGGGUGAAAAGCCCGCUCGCCGGAAGACCAAGGGUUCCUGUCCAACGUUAAUCGGGGCAGGGUGAGUCGACCCCUAAGGCGAGGCCGAAAGGCGUAGUCGAUGGGAAACGGGUUAAUAUUCCCGUACUUGGUGUUACUGCGAAGGGGGGACGGAGAAGGCUAUGUUGGCCGGGCGACGGUUGUCCCGGUUUAAGCGUGUAGGUGUGUGUUCCAGGUAAAUCCGGUUCACUUUAACACUGAGGCGUGACGACGAGGCACUACGGUGCUGAAGCAACAAAUGCCCUGCUUCCAGGAAAAGCCUCUAAGCAUCAGGUAACAUCAAAUCGUACCCCAAACCGACACAGGUGGUCAGGUAGAGAAUACCAAGGCGCUUGAGAGAACUCGGGUGAAGGAACUAGGCAAAAUGGUGCCGUAACUUCGGGAGAAGGCACGCUGACACGUAGGUGAAGUGAUUUACUCAUGGAGCUGAAGUCAGUCGAAGAUACCAGCUGGCUGCAACUGUUUAUUAAAAACACAGCACUGUGCAAACACGAAAGUGGACGUAUACGGUGUGACGCCUGCCCGGUGCCGGAAGGUUAAUUGAUGGGGUCAGCGCAAGCGAAGCUCCUGAUCGAAGCCCCGGUAAACGGCGGCCGUAACUAUAACGGUCCUAAGGUAGCGAAAUUCCUUGUCGGGUAAGUUCCGACCUGCACGAAUGGCGUAAUGAUGGCCAGGCUGUCUCCACCCGAGACUCAGUGAAAUUGAACUCGCUGUGAAGAUGCAGUGUACCCGCGGCAAGACGGAAAGACCCCGUGAACCUUUACUAUAGCUUGACACUGAACAUUGAGCCUUGAUGUGUAGGAUAGGUGGGAGGCUUUGAAGUGUGGACGCCAGUCUGCAUGGAGCCGACCUUGAAAUACCACCCUUUAAUGUUUGAUGUUCUAACGUGGACCCGUUACCCGGGUUGCGGACAGUGUCUGGUGGGUAGUUUGACUGGGGCGGUCUCCUCCUAAAGAGUAACGGAGGAGCACGAAGGUUGGCUAAUCCUGGUCGGACAUCAGGAGGUUAGUGCAAUGGCAUAAGCCAGCUUGACUGCGAGCGUGACGGCGCGAGCAGGUGCGAAAGCAGGUCAUAGUGAUCCGGUGGUUCUGAAUGGAAGGGCCAUCGCUCAACGGAUAAAAGGUACUCCGGGGAUAACAGGCUGAUACCGCCCAAGAGUUCAUAUCGACGGCGGUGUUUGGCACCUCGAUGUCGGCUCAUCACAUCCUGGGGCUGAAGUAGGUCCCAAGGGUAUGGCUGUUCGCCAUUUAAAGUGGUACGCGAGCUGGGUUUAGAACGUCGUGAGACAGUUCGGUCCCUAUCUGCCGUGGGCGCUGGAGAACUGAGGGGGGCUGCUCCUAGUACGAGAGGACCGGAGUGGACGCAUCACUGGUGUUCGGGUUGUCAUGCCAAUGGCACUGCCCGGUAGCUAAAUGCGGAAGAGAUAAGUGCUGAAAGCAUCUAAGCACGAAACUUGCCCCGAGAUGAGUUCUCCCUGAGACUUAGAGUCUCCUGAAGGAACGUUGAAGACGACGACGUUGAUAGGCCGGGUGUGUAAGCGCAGCGAUGCGUUGAGCUAACCGGUACUAAUGAACCGUGAGGCUUAACCUUACAACGCCGAAG